Molecule: long non-coding RNA, 296 nt
Filed under: Elaeis guineensis (African oil palm)
Lineage: Eukaryota; Viridiplantae; Streptophyta; Magnoliopsida; Arecales; Arecaceae
Description: long non-coding RNA (EGUI_LNC021664)
Source: RNAcentral
CAGAGAGAUCAAUAUACAGCUUUUCUCCCUAUUCUUCCUCCUCUUUCUCUAGUCUUUCAUGCAGCAAGGAGCCCUGGGGGGGGGGCCUCCCUCAAGCCCUAGCCAUCCUAGGGUUUGGAAGAGGGAGGCACCCCAUCAUGUGGGUGCCCCAUCUAAAGGGGAGCCUCCAUUGUGUGGCCGCCUAAGAAUCCAUGUCCAUGGGAGUCUCCAUGCCCAAGAAGCUAUUUGAUGUGAUCAAAAAUCAGAGGAGGGCAUGGAAGGAGGCUUCAGAGGUGGGCAUGAGUGGAGGAAGUGCA